Molecule: ribosomal RNA, 497 nt
Filed under: uncultured bacterium
Lineage: Bacteria
Description: partial 16S ribosomal RNA
Rfam family: Bacterial small subunit ribosomal RNA
Source: RNAcentral
GAUGAACGCUGGCGGCGUGCCUAAUACAUGCAAGUCGAGCGAACGGACGAGAAGCUUGCUUCUCUGAUGUUAGCGGCGGACGGGUGAGUAACACGUGGAUAACCUACCUAUAAGACUGGGAUAACUUCGGGAAACCGGAGCUAAUACCGGAUAAUAUUUUGAACCGCAUGGUUCAAAAGUGAAAGACGGUCUUGCUGUCACUUAUAGAUGGAUCCGCGCUGCAUUAGCUAGUUGGUAAGGUAACGGCUUACCAAGGCAACGAUGCAUAGCCGACCUGAGAGGGUGAUCGGCCACACUGGAACUGAGACACGGUCCAGACCCCUACGGGAGGCAGCAGUAGGGAAUCUUCCGCAAUGGGCGAAAGCCUGACGGAGCAACGCCGCGUGAGUGAUGAAGGUCUUCGGAUCGUAAAACUCUGUUAUUAGGGAAGAACAUAUGUGUAAGUAACUGUGCACAUCUUGACGAUACCUAAUCAGAAAGCCACGGCUAACUACGUG